GCUUACUUAGUAUAUAUAUUACAUAAAACUGUAAAUUUUAAAAAAUUGUUUAAAUAGUAAGAA
Molecule: transfer RNA, 63 nt
Filed under: Thaparocleidus asoti
Lineage: Eukaryota; Metazoa; Platyhelminthes; Monogenea; Dactylogyridea; Ancylodiscoididae
Description: tRNA-Tyr
Source: RNAcentral